Molecule: ribosomal RNA, 377 nt
Filed under: uncultured Gammaproteobacteria bacterium
Lineage: Bacteria; Pseudomonadati; Pseudomonadota; Gammaproteobacteria
Description: bacterial SSU rRNA
Rfam family: Bacterial small subunit ribosomal RNA
Source: RNAcentral
UAAUACGGAGGGUGCGAGCGUUAAUCGGAAUUACUGGGCGUAAAGCGUGCGUAGGUGGCUUAGUAAGUCGGAUGUGAAAGCCCUGGGCUCAACCUGGGAACUGCAUUCGAUACUGCCAGGCUAGAGUAUGGUAGAGGGAAGUGGAAUUUCCGGUGUAGCGGUGAAAUGCGUAGAUAUCGGAAGGAACACCAGUGGCGAGGGCGGCUUCCUGGACCAAUACUGACACUGAGGUACGAAAGCGUGGGGAGCAAACAGGAUUAGAUACCCUGGUAGUCCACGCCCUAAACGAUGUCAACUAGCCGUUGGGGGAAUUUAAUCCUUUAGUGGCGCAGCUAACGCGUUAAGUUGACCGCCUGGGGAGUACGAUCGCAAGAUUA